GCAAUCUGAAACUGGCGCGUGAAGUGCCGGUGGUGUUUCGCUCGCUGCUGGGCAUUUCCUGGAUGUGGUUUUUUGGCGCGGUGUACUUGAGCAAUUUCCCCGCCUUCGCCAAAGAGGUGCUG
This 122-nucleotide non-coding RNA is filed under the name uncultured Roseateles sp. RNAcentral's name for it is "Burkholderia RNA 11". It matches the Rfam family "Burkholderia RNA 11". From Rfam's summary of the family: Co-purified with Hfq, expression confirmed by Northern blot. Predicted target marZ. Lineage: Bacteria; Pseudomonadati; Pseudomonadota; Betaproteobacteria; Burkholderiales; Sphaerotilaceae. The record is from RNAcentral.